UUGAGUUCAUUCUUUGUUGAAUCUCGUUUGGCAGAGAAUACCUCUAGAUUUUUUGCAAGGUGGCAAAUUUAGAGCAGCAGCAGAUAAUUACAUUAGGCCUCCCUUAACUAAGGGAGUUCCAUCUCUUUUCUCUGAUCUUUCGUCUUUGUAUAAUCACCCUGGGAAGGCAGACAUUUUGGAAUAACUUAUUCUUGUAUUUUUUCACAGCGCUCUUCAAGCUAAGGUAUAUUAAAGAUCAGAUAGCGAAGUAGGCAGCUUAAUUGCUUCAGUGAAUAUAGGUUUUAAAGGCUAGCUAGUAAUUAAUUACUACUGUAUAUAUAGAUAGAGAGUGGUCACUACUACAGCCUGUAUGUUCUUGUUUAAUUAUUUGUUUUUAGUUGUGUGUAUAUUUAAAUGUUUGCAUCCUUGUUUUGGU
This is a non-coding RNA of Arachis ipaensis, 415 nucleotides long. NCBI's taxonomy places the organism in Eukaryota, Viridiplantae, Streptophyta, Magnoliopsida, Fabales, Fabaceae. The record is from RefSeq and is a predicted model, not a curated record.